This 407-nucleotide ribosomal RNA is filed under the name Sphingomonas sp. iEIV10. Its description in RNAcentral is "bacterial SSU rRNA". It matches the Rfam family "Bacterial small subunit ribosomal RNA", at positions 1 to 441 of the family's 1533-position model. The record is from RNAcentral. Lineage: Bacteria; Pseudomonadati; Pseudomonadota; Alphaproteobacteria; Sphingomonadales; Sphingomonadaceae.
UUAGAGUUUGAUUCCUGGCUCAGAAUGAACGCUGGCGGCAUGCCUAACACAUGCAAGUCGAACGAAGCCUUCGGGUUUAGUGGCGCACGGGUGCGUAACGCGUGGGAAUCUGCCCCUUGGUUCGGAAUAACAGUUGGAAACGACUGCUAAUACCGGAUGAUGACGUAAGUCCAAAGAUUUAUCGCCGAGGGAUGAGCCCGCGUAGGAUUAGGUAGUUGGUGUGGUAAAGGCGCACCAAGCCGACGAUCCUUAGCUGGUCUGAGAGGAUGAUCAGCCACACUGGGACUGAGACACGGCCCAGACUCCUACGGGAGGCAGCAGUGGGGAAUAUUGGACAAUGGGCGAAAGCCUGAUCCAGCAAUGCCGCGUGAGUGAUGAAGGCCUUAGGGGAAAAAGCUCUUUUACCC